GGCGACGUGGCCGAGUGGUUUAGGCGCGGGUCUGCAAAACCCGUUACCCCGGUUCAAUUCCGGGCGUCGCCUCCA
Molecule: transfer RNA, 75 nt
Filed under: Gemmatimonadales bacterium
Lineage: Bacteria; Pseudomonadati; Gemmatimonadota; Gemmatimonadia; Gemmatimonadales
Also listed under: 1 other name
Description: tRNA-Cys
Rfam family: tRNA
About the family: Transfer RNA (tRNA) molecules are approximately 80 nucleotides in length.
Source: RNAcentral